AGGACACUUUGGAUGAGAUGAAAAAGGAACCUGUGGCCUCUAUGAAUUUUACGUCAAUUUAUGAUCUUGAUUUAUGAAGUUCUAAUGGCCAAUAAAGAUAAACUACGCCAGCGCAUCUUUUGUACUCGCAACUAUCUCGGGAUCUUUGAAAGAGUGCGAUAAUUCAUAAUCCGAUGCAUCCAAUCGUGUAUUGAAUCAAGUGGGCGAUAAUUCGUACAUUUGUUUAUAAUUAAAAUUUGAA
This is a long non-coding RNA of Trachymyrmex cornetzi, 241 nucleotides long. RefSeq lists it as uncharacterized. NCBI's taxonomy places the organism in Eukaryota, Metazoa, Arthropoda, Insecta, Hymenoptera, Formicidae. The transcript is spliced from 3 exons. The record is from RefSeq and is a predicted model, not a curated record.